Raphanus sativus (radish) is the source of this 343-nucleotide long non-coding RNA. RefSeq lists it as uncharacterized. NCBI's taxonomy places the organism in Eukaryota, Viridiplantae, Streptophyta, Magnoliopsida, Brassicales, Brassicaceae. The record is from RefSeq and is a predicted model, not a curated record. The transcript has 3 exons.
AAGGAAGAGCUUGCAAGCAGAUUCAAGCAAAACGAGAUUGGAGAAUGAUGAUGCUCAACCGCCAUGCUUUCCGGUGAACAAAUCACGAAUGGAACUAACCUUUUUAAUCAGCUUCUGAUGAUGAAAUGUGGAAGCCAAGUACAACGUGGUAGAAGCCUGGGACAUCACUCCCAAAAACUUGAAUACUUUGAGGCUGUUGAAGGGGUUCUAAAGAUCAAGGACAGAUACAAUCCUGCAACGUGAAUGCUUGGAGAUGGACAUUCACAUUGAAGUACCUUAUUGCACAAAAAUAUUAAUUUUAUAAUUAUUGCACGAUGUCAACUAAAUAAAAUUUAUAAAAUCA